Long non-coding RNA from Ziziphus jujuba (common jujube), 2141 nucleotides. RefSeq lists it as uncharacterized. Lineage: Eukaryota; Viridiplantae; Streptophyta; Magnoliopsida; Rosales; Rhamnaceae. The transcript is spliced from 3 exons. The record is from RefSeq and is a predicted model, not a curated record.
UUUGCCGCUGCAUUUUCAUUUCCCUUCAAAUGAUGUUUGCUCUGGUCCUCUCUUGAAACACGCAGCCUCCAACCCAAUCUCCGAUCCAAUCAGUCCUUGACCCCACCAGAUGUUGUGCCCCAUAUUGGAGUGUCCUCUCCGAUCUUCGACGUUGUCCUUGCCGGUGUGUGCUCUCCGAUCGGCAGCCUCUCUUGCUCUCUCUCUUAGUGGGUUUUGGGGAAGCUGAUGAGGAAGAGUGGAGGUUUUGGAAGUAAGCUGAGUUUGGACUGGAACUGCCUAUCAACACUGUGUGUGGGAUCGAGAGCUACGAAUCAAAAUUAGCAAGAUUUUUCUCGUGCCUUUCGUUACUUUUUGUAGCAUUUCAUUGCUAGUUAUGUAGUUUUAUAUAUGCACCUAUCUUUAUUCAUAAUGCUUUAUGCUCAUUUUCUGAAUUUAAUUUUUUCUAGUAUUUUUGGCUUCCAUUGACACAGGAGAAUAUGAUGGGGACCUAUAUUCCAGAAAAAAGGAUAGAUAAUGGCUGUUUCCUAGAAAAAUUUGUAUGUUAUGUAAUAUGUCACUUCUGUCUAAUUUUAGGCUAACGAGGUUUAACUUCAUCUUAAUUCUAAAACAGUUAAUGCAAGUUUAUUAGGAUAUAUGGCAAAAUAUAACUUUCCUGAGAUCUUAUCUUUGAUUCUUUGUGAGUGUUUCCUUAUAUUCCAUAAGUUUCAGGAUCCAUAUUUGAGAAUAUAUGUCUCUGUUGAUUCAAGGAUUUUAUCCCAGCUAAGUACCAUGUUAUUAUGAACAAUAUUUUUGGAAACUAAAGAAUGAACAUAUGGCAUUCGGGAUAAGCAGUUCCCUUCCGAUCUUUUCUUUCAGUUAUAUAUUUCUUCGGCUAUGGUUUAAGUUUUAUAUUGUCAUAAUAAUCAGAGAUUGCUUUGCUAAAUUGGGAUUUCAACUUUUCUAAGAAAAUGUAGCAGUUUUAGUAAGAGAUUAUAUACUAUAGAAGUUGACAUCUAGGAUAAGGUGCAAAAAUCUCUACGAAUAGUUUGCAACCUAGAACUCCAAAAAAGAAAAGUAUGCUUCUUAGAUGAAUGGAUUCAAUUUUGUUUUUAAGUUACUUAUCUUAAGUUAGCUCUCGAUAUUUAAUUCUUUAGACCCGUCAUUCCUAUAUGAAUCAAAGUGUCAAGAAUGGUCAUAUCUAUUUGAAAUCGAGCUUAGUUGCUAAGGCCUACUAAAGGCUCAUUUAAGUGUAUAAGUUUUGUUAUUUUUUGUUGUAACCAUAGGAGUUUACUUCCAUUCUAAGUUUCAUUGUAUGAACCAAAUACCAUCCUAUGUUUUUGCUAAUUAACUCGUUGCUUCCACAAUUUACUUAAACUGGUCUAAUGGCAUACAUAACUUGCAUAAAGGUUUGUAACUUAUUUUCGAUUAUCUAUAUGACCAGACAGACCAUCAAUCUUAGAGAAAACAUACGAGGGAACAAGCAAGAUGGAAAGCUGGAGCUUCUGCAUGGAAAAAUCAAUCCUCAUAUAUGAAUAUUAGCUCCAAAUCUCUAUGGUUGGAUAGUUAAGAAUUUGCAAAGUUCAAAUAUCAGAUAAUACUAUUAAUAGGUAGAGAUGCUUUAUGACAGAAUAAAUGGUUACUAGACUCUCCACAGUCCUCUCUUCCACUGCAUCACACAUCAUCAUGAAGACAGACAAUCAUUGGAUCUCUUCAUGCUGAGCAAUCAUUUUCUGUAUUGAUUUAUAUUACAAAGUGGCUUCAUUCCAUAAGUAUUGUAGAAAAUAAAGUGGAGUUGCCUAUGUUAUGUGUGCUUUCGAAGCACAAUAUUUAUUCCCUUUGUGAUUUAUUUAUUCUUCAUGUGCAUCAAAAUCUAUUGACUUAAGUUUCCAUUGCUAUAGGUUGAGUUACCAGAGGAUGUGAGGACACAAAUAAAGAAAAUUUUUGUAAUUCGUAAUCUUUGUCAAAAGAUUUCAGGUUUUUAACGACCCAAGAUCAAGUUAAAUGCAAUAUUUGUCCACCACCAUUACUGCUGGUAGCUAAACUUUCUAUGUAAUUUUAUUGUCUUUGUACGCAUUUAAAUCAUUGUUGUAAUUAUACAGUGACAAUUAUUUGUAUAUAAUGACUAUAGUUUUUAUAAAAUAUUAUUUACAAUAUUGGUAUGC